CUUUUCCAGGUGAGGAGGGCGGAGUCUUUACAGCCUGCGCUUCAGAUAGACUGUAAACACCAAAACUGGAGAAUCUCACACAGCCAAAAGUGAUUUCUGUAGCUGAACAGAUGGAGGUUGGCUUGGCUGCAGCUGAUGCCAUGCGCAGAACGGAGUAUGAAGCAGGAGCUGAUCCAGAUAUUCUUUACAGAUCCAUUCAGCUUCUCUCGAGACGGGGCAUGUUUUGUUGGAAUCCUGUUUUCAGUUACAUUUGAGCUUCGGGACUGAGGAGAAUUUUCCUUUGAGCUUCUGGAGGAGCAGAUCCAGCCUAUCAAUUGAACCAAAGAUCCAUUCGCACCUGGCUUUCUCAGCCCAAUGGACACGAGGGACCUUCAGGAGAAUAAUAGAUUUUUGCUGCUGCUGCAAAACAAGUAAAGGAACUUGCUACUGCCAGUGCCAAUACAUAUGCUGAUACACUGCGGCAAACCCAGGGAAAGAUGGAUGCUGGUACGGUUAAAACGCCACAUAACUGGAAAUUAAAGGGGAAAAUCUAAUGUUUCAGUGGGAAGUCUUCAGUGACGAUGACCCCCCGUUGUGACUCCACGGUUUGGACAUGUUGUACAGACACAUCGAUUUGUUCUCGCCAUCUCUGCCGAACAGUGGGAGUGCAUUUACACUAGGCCGUGCGUGCAGCACACUGAGUGUGGAUCUGCAGGGGUCAGGUCUAGACAAGCAGCCAUGCAGACCUACCAUACAAUCACACCUUCCAUUAGAGAUGUGCAAGCUCGACACGCAUAACCUGUAACCUCCAUUUUAUGGGUAUUUGUUAUUGUUUUGUUUGAGAUGCUGUGCUUUAAAUUUGAGAUUGUAUUUGCUUAUCACUUGACACUUAUCUCAUGUUUUUUGUUAAGGAAGGUGUGUAAGUCAUUUGAUUGGCAUGUUUAUUCAGCAGUAUAGACAGAUGACUGCUUAUACUGUAAAAUGAUAGCAGUAUUGCACAUCCAGGAAAUAUAAACACAUUGCUUGCCAAUGUCAAAUAUACACUGGUAAUUUGCAUACAAAUAGGAGGUCAGAUUUGCAUAUCAGGUCUAAAAGCAGCCUAUUAUGCCAUUCAGUCGAUGG
Cyprinus carpio carpio is the source of this 1101-nucleotide long non-coding RNA. Lineage: Eukaryota; Metazoa; Chordata; Actinopteri; Cypriniformes; Cyprinidae. The record is from Ensembl.